Molecule: ribosomal RNA, 438 nt
Filed under: uncultured bacterium
Lineage: Bacteria
Also listed under: 1 other name
Description: bacterial SSU rRNA
Rfam family: Bacterial small subunit ribosomal RNA
Source: RNAcentral
ACGGGAGGCAGCAGUGGGGAAUAUUGCACAAUGGGGGGAACCCUGAUGCAGCAACGCCGCGUGAAGGAAGACGGUUUUCGGAUUGUAAACUUCUAUCAAUAGGGACGAAGAAAGUGACGGUACCUAAAUAAGAAGCCCCGGCUAACUACGUGCCAGCAGCCGCGGUAAUACGUAGGGGGCAAGCGUUAUCCGGAAUUACUGGGUGUAAAGGGUGAGUAGGCGGCACGGCAAGUAAGAUGUGAAAGCCCACGGCUUAACUGUGGGAUUGCAUUUUAAACUGUUGAGCUAGAGUACAGGAGAGGAAAGCGGAAUUCCUAGUGUAGCGGUGAAAUGCGUAGAUAUUAGGAAGAACACCAGUGGCGAAGGCGGCUUUCUGGACUGGAAACUGACGCUGAGGCACGAAAGCGUGGGGAGCGAACAGGAUUAGAUACCCUGGUA